GAUGAACGCUGGCGGCGUGCCUAAUACAUGCAAGUCGAGCGAACGGACGAGAAGCUUGCUUCUCUGAUGUUAGCGGCGGACGGGUGAGUAACACGUGGAUAACCUACCUAUAAGACUGGGAUAACUUCGGGAAACCGGAGCUAAUACCGGAUGAUAUUUUGAACCGCAUGGUUCAAAAGUGAAAGACGGUCUUGCUGUCACUUAUAGAUGGAUCCGCGCUGCAUUAGCUAGUUGGUAAGGUAACGGCUUACCAAGGCAACGAUGCAUAGCCGACCUGAGAGGGUGAUCGGCCACACUGGAACUGAGACGCGGUCCAGACUCCUACGGGAGGCAGCAGUAGGGAAUCUUACGCAAUGGGCGAAAGCCUGACGGAGCAACGCCGCGUGAGUGAUGAAGGUCUUCGGAUCGUAAAACUCUGUUAUUAGGGAAGAACAUAUGUGUAAGUAACUGUGCACAUCUUGACGGUACCUAAUCAGAAAGCCACGGCUAACUACGUG
Molecule: ribosomal RNA, 497 nt
Filed under: uncultured bacterium
Lineage: Bacteria
Description: partial 16S ribosomal RNA
Rfam family: Bacterial small subunit ribosomal RNA
Source: RNAcentral